CCUUUUUUAGGAACUGAAAGGUUUGGGGAAGAGGUCAUAAAAGAAAUGUGCCUUAGUGUGUUGUUGUUGUUGUUGUUUUGUUUGUUGUGUGUGUGUGUGUUUAAAGUAACAAAUUAUAUGAGAGUAAGCAAGAGAGCUAAGAGGAAAAAAAAAACCCUAAAAGUCUGUGCUCAGUUUGCCUUUCAAGGGUCUUUUAAGCUACACUUCAUUUUAAAGAAACCCAAACUGGGAAAUUGUGGGUGAUAUUUUAUAGCUAUUUUGGGUCAAGAGAGAUAAAGUGGGACUCGAAUGGGAUGGCAGCCAAAGAGUAAGCAGUCCUAGAGCCCAGUGGGACUUGAUUCUGCUUUGAUGGCCUGGGAACAAACUCUCCACUGGAGCCUUCAGAAGGGAACUGGCCCAGUCAACACCUUGAUUUUGACCUUGGGAGACGAGACACAAAGAAACCAGCUGAGCCCACUGAACUUUUGACCUACAGAAUUAUGAGAUAAUAAAUUUGUGCCGUUUUUUCCCCAAGUCAGUAAUAAUUUGAUAAGGCAGCAAUAGAACGCUAACACAGCAACCACUCCAUCUACUUAUGGAUAUACUGGGAUUACCCUUCCCAUUUGGUCCAAGACCUUCUUCUUUACACACGUCUUAGUCUGGCAUGUUGGGUGUUGCCUGAGCCUCCCUUUCAAAACUCACCUCCCAGACAAACCAUCAGCCCCAGUCAUGUUCUUGGCCUUCUAACUGCCUGUGAAGGUCCAACCUGUCUUUCAAGGCCAUCUUGACAGAGAUGCAGGUAAUCUGCUUCUGUGGCCACCAGAGCCUUGGGGGGACCCUCAUCCCUGUUGUCCAUUUGGCCCUUGUCUUCUCUGAUAGUGCAGGUUCUUCCCACUAUUUUGUGUCCAGCAGAAAGAUGAACACAUUAUACAUGAUCCAUGUGCUUCCUUGAGGGAUGGGGUUUUAGCUGAGAGAGCCAUAGGUUCCCAGGCCAGGGGUCCAAUUGGAGCUGUAGUCACCAGCCUACACCACAGCCACAGCCACAGCAAUGCUGGAUCCGAGCCAUGUCUGCAACCUAUACCACAGCUCAUGGCAAUGCUGGAUCCUUUACCCACUGAGCAAGGCCAGGGAUCAAACCCACAACCUCAUGUAGGAACUCUGGUUCCUAGUCAGAUUCCUUAACCACUGAGCCACAGUGGGAACUCCAUUUGAUCUCUUCUUAAAGCAUCUUGUAAGUGACUUCUUUAAAUGAUCUUGGUACCCCAUAGGUUUGGGUUCCAAAGGCUGGUCUCUCCCUGGACACAGAGCUUUGCCCCUUGGGAUUGUGGCUGUUGCUGAUGCUGACAUGUAAUCUGUAAUGCUUUAUGAGCGUGGCUUAGAGCUCAGAGCAUCCCUGCAGUACCAGCACAAGAGGAUGCCUCCCAGGGAGAGUUGGCAGGAUGUUGGGAUGGGGAGUAGCAGCCAGAGACUUUGUUGAAAGCAUCAGAUUUUUCUCCACUGCAGCUAUCUAUUCUUCAUUCCUUGCUAAUGGGAUAAUUUGAUCGAUGAAUGCACUGUGAAAAGGCAAGAGAUGCAUAAAAAGUGUGAAAGCUCACAGCCACAAAUGAGUGGGCAGAUUUACCACCUUCUCCCCAGAAUCAAAUCUGUCUGCCAUCCGCACUGGGUAUGAGACAGGCAGAUCCAAGCUUUGGUUUAAUUACACAUAAUUUGGGUGACAGCUGAAAUGCAAACCUAAACAUUCAAUCAGUUAAAGAUACACAAAAUUAAGCAUUUCACACAGUGUCCAACCCCUUCAAUCUUUAUUAAUACUUUAAUUAUGUUAAUUAUACCAUGGUUUCAAGCCCUGCUAUGACAAUAAGCAGGGGGUGGAGGUGGGGGAAGAGGCGGCCUCUUCUGAGCAAUAGAACUAAGUAAUGAGUGCAUUCGAAUUAAAAGUAUGAAUGGAAUGCAAAGUAGCCAAGAAUUACAAAUACAUUAUUCAGCAAUUUACCCUGUUGGCACUCCUUUCCUCCAUAGUGACUGGCAGUGUUGCUGGAGGGGGGCCCAAGUCUGACUCAUUCUGAGUGCCCUGUAGAUAGUAAGUGCUCAGUAAACAUCUAUGAAUGAAUCUGGAAUCAAAGGUGGUGAAAACGUACCCAUAGAGAUAGAAGGAACUGAGCAGGCUUGGGAGAUAUAUUUUGAAGGUGGCAAAGACCAAAAGGCUGAGGACUAUUUGUAGGAGGAGGUGAUGAUGGAGAGGUGGGGGCAGGAGGAAGAGAGAGGGGAACAGAAGAUGACUAGGGAUGCGGAAGUUCACCUUUACUUCUUCCAAGUCACUUCAGUUCUCUGGGCUCAUUUCCCCCCUCUGUCUUUGGCAAAUAAAGAAGGAGAUUCGACCUUAAUGUUUUCCAAAUUCUCUUCUCUUAGAACCCUCAAAAGUAUUAUCAGAGACUGUGUUAUAUAAGUGCCUUGGGGGGUGGGGGACUGUAGGGAAACAGCUCUGCUUUUAUUGUAUAUUUUAUGUAGUGAAUGUCAAGAUUUUCUUUCUCAAAGUUGCCAAUCAGUGGUUUAACAACUCUUUAAAUGUCAUGGCCUUUUCACGCCCAGCCCACCCACUCACAAAGCCCAUAUUGGGGCAUCUUCCACCACUGAUCCAGCUCUCCAUCUGUUUUUCUCUUCAUCCUGGGUGUGUGGGAUCCCUUGGCUCAUCUGCUUCCCAGCCCCCAUGUGACUUUACUUAUCUCUCCUGUCUUUGCUCAUCUUGUACAGCCUGCCUAAAUUCUCCUUCCUCCUCCCUGAAUCUAUGGACAUCAUAGGUCACUAAGCCAGGGUCAGAUCUUCUUCCUCUGGGAAAUCCCCCUAGAGGGCACUAGUCAAGAGUACUUUCUCCUCUUUAUGAAUUUCUCUGGCUCUUGCUUGUCUGAUCCACAUUCCUGCCCUCCCCCCUUUUUUGUUCCUCUGUGUACAUCUUAUCUUCCUGACUAGAUUAUCAAUUCUCAAGUUGGGAAACACUCAGGCUUCUUUUGUGGUUUUUCUUCUACUUUGUCUCAGACUAGACACACAGACAACUACUCAAUAAGUCCUCCUUACCUUCCACAUCUAAAAAGUAUUCGAAAGGGGGUUAACCACAUAAAAUCAAGUGAUCCUCUAGCCAGAGAGAAUUCAAUUGCCCAAACGACAGCAAUCAAUAACUGUACUGUAGAUUUUUGACCUGAUAGGUGGCUGAGCUGAAACAAAAAUAACAUUUGAGUGACUUGUACCAAAUAGGUUUUUAAGGCUUUGGUAGGCUGACAUAUACAGAAUUAUCAGUUAUUGGGAGUGUCUUCUGCACAUCACCAGAGAAAACCUGGGAGAUCGGUAAAUCUGAGAUAGAAAUGCAGUGCUUACUUCAGAGAGCAAUUUCUGGUCUUUGUUCUUGAUGACAGCUGUUUCUGUGACUAGCCCUUUGCCCACGGUAGUCUUAGUUGAGCUCAAUAUCUUCAGAACUUUAUACAUCAGCCUCAUAUUUUCUGACAAUUGGCACUAUAAUUCUUCCUGGAGCAGAAAAUUGGUAUCAGACCUCUCUGUGGGCAUCUUGGUGGUCACCUCAAGUUGGUGUCUUACAACUUCUUAACCAUGAAUCCUACAAGUCACCAGUGUGGGGGCUAAUGUUAAAAAAGGCAGGAGUUCCUGUUGUGGCUCAGAAGGUUAAGAAUCCCCCCCCCAAUAUUGUCUCUGUGAGGAUGUGGGUUCGAUCCUUGGCCUCACUCAGUGGGUUAAGGGUCCAAUGUUGCUGCAAGCUGUGUUGUAGACCUACAGCUGCUGUUCCUAUAUUCAACCCCCAGCCCAGGAAUUUCCUUGUGAUGCAGCUUUGGUUGU
RNAcentral lists this long non-coding RNA (3816 nucleotides) under Sus scrofa (pig). Its description in RNAcentral is "lncRNA (ENSSSCG00055015341.1)". The record is from RNAcentral. Lineage: Eukaryota; Metazoa; Chordata; Mammalia; Artiodactyla; Suidae.